UAACCAAAUGCUGGUAAAAGGUGAG
RNAcentral lists this non-coding RNA (25 nucleotides) under Mus musculus (house mouse). The record is from RNAcentral. Lineage: Eukaryota; Metazoa; Chordata; Mammalia; Rodentia; Muridae.